UCUGACAAUAACUUUAGUGGAGAAGUGCCAUCUAGCCUAGGGAAACUUAGUGGAAUGAUUAAUCCUAAUCUCGAUGCCUCAUUACUUUAUUAUUAUGAAGUUCCUGCAAGCGUUUACCAGCGGCGUGGGCAAAUUUCCUCCGCUAACUAUCCGAACUUUGAAGUAUCUUGGAAAAACAAGAUGCAAGAUCUUCCCAGCAAAAACCUUAAUCUCUAUACUUUUUUAGAUCUAUCAAACAACCAAUUAUCUGGCGGAAUUCCUGAUACAUUAGGUUGUUUGAGAAAUUUAAAAGUACUGAAUAUGUCUCACAACAAGCUCUCAGGUGGA
This 327-nucleotide unclassified non-coding RNA is filed under the name Hevea brasiliensis (rubber tree). Lineage: Eukaryota; Viridiplantae; Streptophyta; Magnoliopsida; Malpighiales; Euphorbiaceae. The record is from RNAcentral.